UACGUAGGGUGCGAGCGUUAAUCGGAAUUACUGGGCGUAAAGCGUGCGCAGGCGGUUUUGUAAGCCAGAUGUGAAAUCCCCGGGCUCAACCUGGGAAUGGCAUUUGGGACUGCAAGGCUGGAGUGUGGCAGAGGAGACUGGAAUUCCUGGUGUAGCAGUGAAAUGCGUAGAUAUCAGGAGGAAUACCGAUGGCGAGGGCAGGUCUCUGGGCUGACACUGACGCUCAUGCACGAAAGCGUGGGGAGCAAACAGG
This 253-nucleotide ribosomal RNA is filed under the name uncultured bacterium. Its description in RNAcentral is "partial 16S ribosomal RNA". It matches the Rfam family "Bacterial small subunit ribosomal RNA", at positions 524 to 776 of the family's 1533-position model. The record is from RNAcentral.